RNAcentral lists this long non-coding RNA (299 nucleotides) under Homo sapiens (human). RNAcentral describes it as "HSALNT0240213". The record is from RNAcentral. Lineage: Eukaryota; Metazoa; Chordata; Mammalia; Primates; Hominidae.
GGUUCAGGGAACAAAGCCUGGCUUGGGAAUCUCGGAGGGCUGCCGGGACGAAGAGGCUACAUCUACACAGGGCGGUGUAGGGGAAGCCCGUCUCUUCGACCUCCGUGCCUGGGAGUAGGGGCCGAGAGCCAGAUUAUUGCGAUGACCGGAAUCCCGGCGAGGACGGCCGCGCUCCGGUUCCUUGGUCAAAUUUGUGAAUUUCGCUAACACGAAAAGUUAAACAAGACACAGAGGAGAAACUGCACUUAAGGGUUUCUAACGAAUUACCUUUACUAGCAAGAAUAAAACUGCAAGAAAAU